This is a non-coding RNA of Haloferax sp., 66 nucleotides long. The record is from Rfam. Lineage: Archaea; Methanobacteriati; Methanobacteriota; Halobacteria; Halobacteriales; Haloferacaceae.
ACGGGAAUCCAGCACGGCCGCAAAUCUGACGUGCCCACAUGAGUGGGCUUGGGAUUGCGGUAGUGC